AUUGAACGCUGGCGGCAGGCCUAACACAUGCAAGUCGAGCGGAUGAAGGGAGCUUGCUCCUGGAUUCAGCGGCGGACGGGUGAGUAAUGCCUAGGAAUCUCCCUGGUAGUGGGGGAUAACGUCCGGAAACGGGCGCUAAUACCGCAUACGUCCUGAGGGAGAAAGUGGGGGAUCUUCGGACCUCACGCUAUCAGAUGAGCCUAGGUCGGAUUAGCUAGUUGGUGGGGUAAAGGCCUACCAAGGCGACGAUCCGUAACUGGUCUGAGAGGAUCAUCAGUCACACUGGAACUGAGACACGGUCCAGACUCCUACGGGAGGCAGCAGUAGGGAAUAUUGGGCAAUGGGCGAAAGCCUGAUCCAGCCAUGCCGCGUGUGUGAAGAAGGUCUUCGGAUUGUAAAGCACUUUAAGUUGGGAGGAAGGGCAGUAAGUUAAUACCUUGCUGUUUUGACGGUACCAACAGAAGAAGCACCGGCUAACUUCGUG
RNAcentral lists this ribosomal RNA (484 nucleotides) under uncultured bacterium. RNAcentral describes it as "partial 16S ribosomal RNA". It matches the Rfam family "Bacterial small subunit ribosomal RNA", at positions 30 to 507 of the family's 1533-position model. The record is from RNAcentral.